GUGCUUGCUUUGGCAACACAUAUACUAAAAUUGGGACGAUGCAGAUUAGUUUAACGUGGUUCCCGUGCAAGGAUGACACGAAAAUUAAUGAAGAGUUCCAAUUUUAU
Molecule: small nuclear RNA, 107 nt
Organism: Gorilla gorilla gorilla (western lowland gorilla)
Lineage: Eukaryota; Metazoa; Chordata; Mammalia; Primates; Hominidae
Source: Ensembl